RNAcentral lists this long non-coding RNA (5059 nucleotides) under Canis lupus familiaris (dog). RNAcentral's name for it is "lncRNA (ENSCAFG00845021732.1)". Lineage: Eukaryota; Metazoa; Chordata; Mammalia; Carnivora; Canidae. The record is from RNAcentral.
AUGGCGGCAGCGCCGGGAAGCUGCAGCUGGGUAAUUAUUGCGAACAUCCAUCCUGCCUCCUGCCCGCCCGGGGGAGCAGGGGAGCCACCGCCGGGCCAGGGCAGCCGCUCGCCAGCCCCUCCUCGCGCCGGCCGCACCCCGGCCUGGCACGCCGCCGCGGGGGGGGGGGGGGGGGGGCAGGGGCUCUCCCGCCGCCCCUCGCUCGCCCCCGCCCGCGCCUGCGGCCCACCCUUGGAGCGACCGGCCAGCCCGGAACUUGUUUUUUCUAACUAUAAACACACCCCGCGUACAGCACCAGCCAGAGAGCCUCCUUUGUUCAAACAGAAUCUUUCCUUGGCCUUUUUUGGGGGCAGUGGGAGCCGACAGCGCCCGGUCUGGGUUACGGCCUCUUGCACAGGGACCGUCCCCCUAGAUGAGGAGGUGCCCCUGGGGCCCCCGCUGUGGGCUCCGCCGCCUCGGGCCCAGAAGCUCCCCCUGGCCCCGAGCCCGCUCCCCACCCCCCGACCCCCCAGCUAUAGUAUGUGCCUUCCCAGCAGGGAAAAGACACUGAAUGACAGCCAAGGGCAAAAUGCCAGGGACAGCGGCUGGGGUCUCAGGGGAUCUGUAACCCUCACUGCCUCCCGCGGUAGCCCCAGCCCAAGACUAUCCCAUGCCUCUCCGACAGUCAAGUGGUCAGCUAGCUCAUGUCGGACCGCACAUUGUGGACAGAGGGCCAGGCCACUGGCAACACGAGGGGCUGCUUCUUCAGGUACCCCCCACCUGCCAGGCACCAGCUAUGCUAUGUAAUCUAGCACUAAGCCUCACAAAGCCCUUUCAAUACAUCAUAUCUGCUUCUUUUUACAGAAGAGGCAAUGGGGCUCAGAGAGGUAGAGUGACUUGUCCAAAAUCACACAGCCAGGAAGUCUCAGAGGUUCCUGGUGGCCAAUUUCAACCAAGGAGGGACAGAGGAAGGACCCUUCAGAGGGAGGGAAAGGACCUACUUUGGAGGGGAUGUGGGGAGAAGCGAGAGCCUGCAUCAUGAGCUGUGACUCUCGAGGGACGUGACUUAUUCACCAAUCCAUUUGUUCUGUUUGUGCAUUUAUGCCAGUGUCUUUGCUGGGCAUUGAGGACUCAAGUAAACCAGGCUCAUCUGUGUUCUCACAGAACUCAUGGCCAAGCAGAAGAGAAAGGCAAAAUGAGGCAGGAAGAGGCCACCACUUGCCUGGGUGUGCUAGUAUUUACUAAGCGACUACUGUGGGCCAGGCCCAGUGAGGAGAACUGAGGGCAGCAAGUAAAUACAAAGCACAAGGCUCGUGCCCUUCGGAAGCAUAAGUUCUAGGGGUUUCUGGCCCCAAACCUCCAGAAACCCAGCCUGCACACCCCUAGAACCCUGAACACGAUGGGACAUUUCUCUAGGGGUAUACCAGAGUCAUACUUGGCCUGGUUCUGGGCUGCUCAGCAGGGAUCCAGAAAUGGCAGGAAAUCUCAAUCAGUACCUUCCCUAGGAACUAAAUCAAGGCCCCAGGCAGGCCAGAGUUGUUCAGAGGGGUCUGCAGUCAUCCAGUCUGAACAACUAGAAGGCAAACAAGGGCCACCCAUGCAGGCUGUAGCCACAAACCCCUGGGGCUGGGGACACAAUGACUCUCGCUGAAUGGACGAUACUUGCCCAAGGCCACCUGGGCCUUACUCUAUCUUUGUUCCUUUGCUCCCCACUGAAAGACAUCGAUCCUGGUUCAGAGGCAGCGUCAUGGCAUUGGGUCCCAGCCGCUGCAACAUCAGGUCCAUUUCAUAGCCUAGGAAAUGGAGAAACGGGGCAGUGGGAGGACUCGUCCAAGAUUCCACUAGCUCAUGGCAUAGGCAAAAUGUGAACUAGGGACUGCAGGCCUCUCCACCAGCUCACACGCCAGGAUGCCACCCGCAAGGAUGUACACACUGACACCCAGGCUGGCGAUGCUGGAUGUCUCCAACGGGGGCACCGCAUGAGCUGCAGGCAGAGGAUAGCUCCUUUCCUAAGCGACCCUCUUGGUUCCUGUUUUUGUGUUUGUGUUUCUAAAUGCUCGACCUUUGCUAUCACCUGGAGCUGUUAAACAGAGGCGCCCCUCUCAGUGUGAAUGGCAGAGAGCGUAUGCCAGAACUGCUCCAUUUCAGCAGCCAAAAAGUUGGAUUUAUAUUUUUAAGUGGAAUUUUAAAUGUUCAGGGUCUUUUUUUGAAGGAGAGCCAGAGCCAGAGAGAGCAUGCAGUGGGGAGGGCAGAGGGAGAAGGAGAAUCCUAAGCAGGUGCCACACACAGUGUGGAGCCUGAUGCAGGGCUUCGUCUCACGACCCUCAGAUCAUGACCUGAGCAGAAAUCAAGAGUUGGAUGCUCAACCCACUGCGCCACCCAGAUGUCCCUAAGUGGAAUUUUAUUUUUUUUUUUUUUUUUUUUUUUUUUUUUUUUUUUUUUUUUUAAAGAUUUUAUUUAUUUAUUCAUGAUAGUCACAGAGAGAGAGAGAGAGAGAGGCAGAGACACAGGCAGAGGGAGAAGCAGGCUCCAUGCACCGGGAGCCCGACGUGGGAUUCGAUCCCGGGUCUCCAGGAUCACACCCCGGGCCAAAGGCAGGCGCCAAACCGCUGCGCCACCCAGGGAUCCCCCUAAGUGGAAUUUUAAAAACUGCCAAAUCCCCUUAUUAAAAAAGAGAGAGAGAGGAGAUCCCUGGGUGGCUCAGCGGUUUAGCCCCUGCCUUUGGCCCAGGGCAUGAUCCUGGAGUCGCAGGGUCAAGUCCCACAUCAGGCUCCCUGCAUGGAGCCUGCUUCUCCCUCUGCCUAUGUCUCUGCCUCUCUCUCUCUCUCUGUCUCUCAUGGAUGAAUAAAUAAAAAAUCUUGGGUGGGGGUGACUGGGUGGCGGGCACUGAGGUGGGCACUUGAUGGGAUGAGCACUGGGUGUUAUUCUGUUUUUUGGCAAAUUGAACACCAAUAAAAAAUAAAUUUAUUAUUAUAAAUAAAUAAAUAAAUGAUCUUUUAAAAUUUUUUUAAAAAAAGAGAUAAAGCUAAAUAAAAUAGGAGAAUGGAAAAAAAGUAGGAAAAUGGCUAAGUAAAUUAUUAAGACAAUAUUACAAAGCCAUUAACUUUAAAGAAAAUUUGAAUGUUGUGAGAUAAUAUUCACCAUAUAAUGAAAGGUGAGGGGGAGCCAGUUACAGAGUAUUAUUACAACAAAAAUAUACACUUAAAUAAUAAAUAAAAUACAAUAUACACUUAUAUGCAUAUGUAUGAUUGAUAUAGAAGAAUGAAACUGAAGGGAAAUACAACAAAACAGUAGUGACAUUUAUCUUUGGGCAGCGAGAUAACAGACGACUUUCAUUUUCUCCUUUGUACCUUUCUGUAGUUUCCAAAUUUUACAAUGAGUAUGAAUUGCUUUUAUAAUUAGAUAUAAAAUAGAAAGGCGGGGUUGCCCUUGGCUCAGGCUCAUCCCCACCACCUCCACACACCCUCCACACAGAGCUGAGCCGCCUCUGUGCUCUGUCCUCACUGCCCAGCCCAGCACCAGCAGAGCUGAGGGACCCUGGCCAGGCCACUGGACGCUGAGGACAGCCAGUAUGGAGGUCGCGGGAUUCACGGGCCAUCUCUGCCCAUGGAGAAGCCAGCAAGGGGACACUGCCCUGCAAGGGUCAAUGGCAGGCUGUAAAUUUCCUGGCCAGGGACACUAGGAUUUGAUGCUCUUGGGGGCUGAGAAUCAGAACAUUCAUUAUCUGCUGUAUGAGAGCAGUCAUCUUUGUUCCUUGCAUUUCUUUCAGAGCUGCUGAGUGCAGCAGGAAAGCUGGAGGAGAGCUGACCUUUGUCACCCUCCCACGGCGGGCUUAGGCAGGCUCUCGGCUUCCCAGCAUGGGACCGGAGUGCCUGGCCCAACUGGUCUCCCUGGGCCCUUCUAACCUCCAGGCCUGGGAUUUCUUCUAACCUGAGGAGUAGGUAAAGCCCAAGGUGCAGGCCUGUGUUCACCCACCACCGGGGUUUCUGUGCUCCAGGAACCACUAGCUCCACCUCCUGCCCCACCCCAUUCUCACCCACAGGGGCUGGACUAAGGCAGUUUCCAGAGAAAGGCCUCCCUGCUCCCUGGAGCUGUGGAUUUGGGCAGGUUCCAAAAAUGGUGCCCUCACUUCCUUCCAGCUGAGAUCCUAGCCGCCCCCUCUCUGUUCUGGAAGCUUCCGCCCUCCUCCUGGGCUAUUUUAGCAAUCAGGUCACCCGUUGGCUCACUCUGAGUUUGCGGUCAAUUAAAACCCACAGGCCCUUUUCACAGAGAUGGUGAUAUCUCUUCCUCUUCCAGAUGCUGCCGAAGUCGGGGUCCUCAGGGUGAAAACACACGAGGUGAUGGCUUGGUGAUCCUCUUUAGCAGAGGGGCACUUACUCAGGAGCUGAGGCCGUGCAUUAUUUCCAUCGCCACGGUGGCCAGUGCCUUGCAAAGGUGGCUGACAGUACAAAGGGGGAGCUGGUCACAAGGACGUUCAGAUGGCCUGAAUACUAUGUGUCCCCGUGCUGUACCCUGCUGAUGCUAGACACACAGCCCUCGCUCUGGUCCUCCCAGGCUCUCGGCAGGGAGCCAAUCCCCACUGAGCAACCUCUGAAGGUCAUCGUAUGGUAAGCAGGAAGGCUGAGACGGACUCUGGGGUGCCCCAGCAAAGCCCAAAUCCACCUCAGCUGUGCUGGCACUUCCCCUGGCACGCAUGGUCGCUGACCCAGGGCUUCACAUCCCUGGUCCUACUGACACAGCAGGCUCCCAAAACCUCACACAAAGCCCAAAGCCCCUCUCUUAUAGUCCAUGUGUGUUAUGCCCGAAGCCUCUGAGGGUUCUGAUCACGUGCUUCAGCUAUAGCCUUAUUAGCAGCGUGUGGACCCCUCUGGCUGAAGACCCCUCCCGUAGCUACAGGCUGAGAAACGUGGCCUGGUUCCCAACCUUCCCUCCCCCGGGCAUCUGAUUGAGCACAGGCUCUUCCUGGCUAGCCCAGGGUCAGGUGCUAAACCAAGAGCACCGGGGGACUGCCACUCUACCUGGGGAAGAAAGGCAGCAAACAAGAGAGAGAUUGCAGCUAUGGUGGGGCACUGAGAGCAGG